Molecule: RNA transcript, 1106 nt
Organism: Herpailurus yagouaroundi (jaguarundi)
Lineage: Eukaryota; Metazoa; Chordata; Mammalia; Carnivora; Felidae
Gene: U2AF1L4
Gene name: U2 small nuclear RNA auxiliary factor 1 like 4
Exons: 9
Source: RefSeq, a predicted model, not a curated record
GAGGGAGGCAGCGACAAACUACACUUCCCAAUGCUCUAAAGCAACGGAAAUGACGUAAAGAGCCGACUGAGUUGGAGGGUUCGAGUAAAAAUGGCUGAAUAUUUAGCUUCGAUAUUCGGGACUGAGAAGGACAAGGUUAACUGCUCUUUUUACUUUAAGAUCGGGGCCUGCCGGCACGGGGACCGGUGCUCCCGGCUUCACAACAAACCGACUUUCAGCCAGACCAUAGUGCUGCUCAACCUGUACCGGAAUCCACAGAACACCGCCCAAACCGCAGACGGAUCACACUGUCACGUGAGCGACGUGGAGGUGCAAGAACACUAUGAUAACUUCUUCGAGGAGGUGUUCACGGAGCUGCAGGAGAAGUAUGGGGAGAUUGAAGAGAUGAAUGUGUGCGACAACCUGGGGGACCACCUCGUGGGCAAUGUCUAUGUCAAGUUUCGGCGUGAGGAGGAUGCAGAGCGGGCAGUGGCUGAACUCAAUAACCGCUGGUUCAAUGGGCAGGCAGUGCAUGCUGAGCUGUCUCCUGUCACCGACUUCCGGGAGUCGUGCUGUCGGCAAUACGAGAUGGGGGAAUGUACCCGGGGUGGCUUCUGCAACUUCAUGCACCUUCGACCCAUCUCCCGGAAUCUUCGACGUCAGCUGUAUGGGCGAGGACCCAGGCGCAGAUCCUAAGACUAGUUCUGAGCAUCAUCCCAGGACCAGAGCCUAAAUCUCAACCCCAAAACCAGCUGGAACUCCAAACCCCCAAACCCAAGACCAGUCUGGAUCUCCAAUCCAGAGAUCAGUUCCUGAGCACCUGUCCUGAUACCACUCAGUCACCCCCAAGGUCCCAUACUGGUCACCGCCCCCGAGAAAGAAACCGAAGACGUUCCCCAGACCACCGGCAUGGCCGCUUCUGAGACCCUGGCUCCCUUGACCUCCACCCCUGACAGGCAUAAAUGUUCCUGGCCAGAACACCUCCUGAAAGCUUCCUUACCUCCCCAGCGCCGUCUUCCCCAGGCUCCGGGGCUCCGUGAUGUUAAUCUGUUAAACACAGGGACCUUCCUUUACCACCCUUCCCCUAAUAAAGUUCUGUAUUGAGGGUUUAGAACCUGUUAGCUUGA